ACACCCUCAACCUUCUUGGUUUCUUGACCGGGAAGGCUUGGACUUUGGAGGUUGUCCUUGCUGGCUUGCCAGCUCCUCCUAAAUGAAUUAGUGGGGUCCGCUUGGCCUAUCCUUGACGUGAUAAGUAUGCUUCUACGUCUUGGGUUUUGUGCUGUUGCCCUGGAACCUGCUUCCAACGGUCUUUGUUUCAAAGACAAUGUUCAAGUCGCUUUUGUUACUUGACCUCAGUGA
RNAcentral lists this unclassified non-coding RNA (231 nucleotides) under uncultured Russula. RNAcentral's name for it is "sequence contains ITS2". Lineage: Eukaryota; Fungi; Basidiomycota; Agaricomycetes; Russulales; Russulaceae. The record is from RNAcentral.